This 82-nucleotide transfer RNA is filed under the name Capitella teleta. RNAcentral describes it as "tRNA-Ser for anticodon CGA". It matches the Rfam family "tRNA". Rfam says of the family: Transfer RNA (tRNA) molecules are approximately 80 nucleotides in length. Lineage: Eukaryota; Metazoa; Annelida; Polychaeta; Capitellidae. The record is from Rfam by way of RNAcentral.
GCUGCGAUGGCCGAGUGGUUAAGGCGUUGGACUCGAAAUCCAAUGGGAUAUUCCCGCAAAGGUUCGAACCCUGUUUGCAGCA